GGAGGGUCAUUGGAAACUGGGGAACUUGAGUGCAGACUUGGAGAGUGGAAUUCCACGUGUAGCGGUGAAAUGCGUAGAGAUGUGGAGGAACACCAGUGGCGAAGGCGACUCUCUGGUCUGUAACUGACGCUGAGGAGCGAAAGCGUGGGGAGCGAACAGGAUUAGAUACCCUGGUAGUCCACGCCGUAAACGAUGAGUGCUAAGUGUUAGGGGGUUUCCGCCCCUUAGUGCUGCAGCUAACGCAUUAAGCACUCCGCCUGGGGAGUACGGUCGCAAGACUGAAACUCAAAGGAAUUGACGGGGGCCCGCACAAGCGGUGGAGCAUGUGGUUUAAUUCGAAGCAACGCGAAGAACCUUACCAGGUCUUGACAUCCUCUGACAAUCCUAGAGAUAGGACGUCCCCUUCGGGGGCAGAGUGACAGGUGGUGCAUGGUUGUCGUCAGCUCGUGUCGUGAGAUGUUGGGUUAAGUCCCGCAACGAGCGCAACCCUUGAUCUUAGUUGCCAGCAUUCAGUUGGGCACUCUAAGGUGACUGCCGGUGACAAACCGGAGGAAGGUGGGGAUGACGUCAAAUCAUCAUGCCCCUUAUGACCUGGGCUACACACGUGCUACAAUGG
This 616-nucleotide ribosomal RNA is filed under the name Bacillus amyloliquefaciens. RNAcentral's name for it is "bacterial SSU rRNA". It matches the Rfam family "Bacterial small subunit ribosomal RNA", at positions 617 to 1233 of the family's 1533-position model. The record is from RNAcentral. Lineage: Bacteria; Bacillati; Bacillota; Bacilli; Caryophanales; Bacillaceae.